Molecule: ribosomal RNA, 921 nt
Filed under: uncultured Zetaproteobacteria bacterium
Lineage: Bacteria; Pseudomonadati; Pseudomonadota; Candidatius Mariprofundia
Description: bacterial SSU rRNA
Rfam family: Bacterial small subunit ribosomal RNA
Source: RNAcentral
AGGGUUUGAUCCUGGCUCAGAACGAACGCUGGCGGCGUGCCUAACACAUGCAAGUCGAACGGUAACAGGGACUUCGGUCUGCUGACGAGUGGCGCACGGGUGAGUAACGCGUGGAUAUCUACCUAUUAGUGGGGGACAACUUGUGGAAACGCAAGCUAAUACCGCAUAAUCACUACGGUGGAAAGCAGGGGACCUUCGGGCCUUGUGCUGAUAGAUGAGUCCGCGUCUGAUUAGCUAGUUGGUAGGGUAAAGGCCUACCAAGGCGAUGAUCAGUAUCUGGUUUGAGAGGAUGAUCAGACACACUGGAACUGAGACACGGUCCAGACUUCUACGGAAGGCAGCAGUGGGGAAUAUUGCACAAUGGAGGAAACUCUGAUGCAGCGACGCCGCGUGUGGGAAGAAGGCUUUCGGGUUGUAAACCACUUUCAAUUGGGAAGAAGGGAUGAGAGUUAAUAACUUUCUGACUUGACGGUACCUUUAGAAGAAGCACCGGCUAAUUUCGUGCCAGCAGCCGCGGUAAUACGAAAGGUGCAAGCGUUGUUCGGAUUUACUGGGCGUAAAGCGAGUGUAGGUUGUUUAUUAAGUCGGAUGUGAAAUCCCGGGGCUCAACCUCGGAACUGCAUUCGAUACUGAUAGGCUAGAGUUCGGGAGGGGUAAGCGGAAUUCCGUGUGUAGCAGUGAAAUGCGUAGAUAUACGGAGGAACACCUGAGGCGAAGGCGGCUUACUGGACCGAUACUGACACUGAGACUCGAAAGCGUGGGUAGCAAACAGGAUUAGAUACCCUGGUAGUCCACGCCCUAAACGAUGUCAACUAGCCGUUGCGGGUAUCGACCCCUGCAGUGGCGAAGCUAACGCGAUAAGUUGACCGCCUGGGGAGUACGGUCGCAAGAUUAAAACUCAAAGGAAUUGACGGGGGGCCG